AAAAAAAAAACACGUUAAAAUAUUACUUUAUUUUAAAAAAAUAGCUAUUUUUUUUUGUUCCUUUUUUUUUAUAUUAAAAGGAUAAGUCAAACUAUGAAAAUAUGAUUCUUAAGAGAGAAACAGAAUGCCUACAAAAAAAAAUCAAGAAUUUAGAAGAUGUUUAUAUCGAAAAAGAAAAUAAAAUUAUGGAAAUAUUAGAAGAGAAAGAAGAUCUUAAAGAUCAUAUAUUCGAAAUAGAAAACGAAAAUUCCAAACUAAGGGAUAAUAUUGCCAAGCUUAAUGAAAGAAUAUUAGUAAACAUAAGAAAUUGUUAAUAUAUAUAUGUAUAUAUGUACAUACAUACAUGUAGACAUGCACACAUACAUGCAUAUUUAAAGGAUUUAACAGAUGUGUGUAAACAUACAGACAUAUGAUUAAAACUAGAAACAAAGAAUUACAACAAAGUGAUAUCUUAAUUAUAGAGAAUAAGAACUUAAGAAAUAUUAUUGAAGUACUGCUCCGUAAUCUUAUAUCUUUAAUGUGUAUAUAUUUGUAUAUUCGUAUAUUUGUUUGUAUGUAUGUGCACAUGUAUACAUGUACGUACGAACGUCCGAUGUGAUACAGUUUGCAUGAACUAUAUUUUGUAUCUUCAUUUUGACUUUUUUUUUUUUUUUUUUUUUUCUGUAAGGAUAUGAAGAACCAUAAAUUAUUAUUAGAAUCGAAGAUCACAAAAAAAAAUAAAAUAAUUGAUGUGAUUAAGGAAAAAUACCA
Molecule: long non-coding RNA, 750 nt
Filed under: Piliocolobus tephrosceles (Ugandan red Colobus)
Lineage: Eukaryota; Metazoa; Chordata; Mammalia; Primates; Cercopithecidae
Description: lncRNA (ENSPTEG00000002832.1)
Source: RNAcentral